RNAcentral lists this ribosomal RNA (522 nucleotides) under uncultured Nitrospira sp. RNAcentral's name for it is "bacterial SSU rRNA". It matches the Rfam family "Bacterial small subunit ribosomal RNA", at positions 338 to 896 of the family's 1533-position model. The record is from RNAcentral. Lineage: Bacteria; Pseudomonadati; Nitrospirota; Nitrospiria; Nitrospirales; Nitrospiraceae.
CCUACGGGAGGCAGCAGUGGGGAAUCUUCCGCAAUGGGCGCAAGCCUGACGGAGUGACGCCGCGUGGGGGACGAAGGCCUUCGGGUCGUAAACCCCUUCGGACGGUACCUCCAGAAGCAGCCACGGCUAACUUCGUGCCAGCAGCCGCGGUAAUACGAAGGUGGCAAGCGUUGUUCGGAUUUACUGGGCGUACAGGGAGCGUAGGCGGUUGGGUAAGCCCUCCGUGAAAUCUCCAGGCUUAACCUGGAAAGUGCAGAGGGGACUGCUUAGCUAGAGGAUGGGAGAGGAGCGCGGAAUUCCCGGUGUAGCGGUGAAUGCGUAGAGAUCGGGAGGAAGGCCGGUGGCGAAGGCGGCGCUCUGGAACAUUUCUGACGCUGAGGCUCGAAAGCGUGGGGAGCAAACAGGAUUAGAUACCCUGGUAGUCCACGCCUUAAACGAUGGAUACUAAGUGUCGGCGGGUUACCGCCGGUGCCGCAGCUAACGCAGUAAGUAUCCCGCCUGGGAAGUACGGCCGCAAGGUUG